RNAcentral lists this ribosomal RNA (387 nucleotides) under Oreohelix cooperi. RNAcentral describes it as "partial 12S ribosomal RNA". The record is from RNAcentral. Lineage: Eukaryota; Metazoa; Mollusca; Gastropoda; Stylommatophora; Oreohelicidae.
AAACCAGGGAUUAGAUACCCUAUUAUAAAAAGCCUUAUAAUAAAUUCUAAAUAGUAGUACAAUAAAAAUGUAUAAACUUAAAUAACAUGGCGGUAAUUAUAAACUUUAGGGGAACUUACUUAUUAAUGGAUAACCACCCAGAAAUCUUACCAUUGAAUUAAAGCUUGUAUGCCGUCGUCAUCAGAAACUUUUUUAAAAGGUUUCACAGAUUAAUUAUCAGAAUAUGACAGAUCAAGGUGCAGCUAAUAUAAUGGUUUUAGCGAGUUACAAUUAUAAUUUUUAUCGGAAGUCUCUUUGAAAAAGUAAUGGAAGAUGGACUUAAAAGUAAAAAAUAAUAAAUAUAAUUUAAUUGAAUUUUUUAUAGUUGUGUACAUAUCGCCCCGUCGC